This 538-nucleotide ribosomal RNA is filed under the name uncultured archaeon. Its description in RNAcentral is "bacterial SSU rRNA". It matches the Rfam family "Archaeal small subunit ribosomal RNA", at positions 71 to 592 of the family's 1478-position model. The record is from RNAcentral.
UGAAGGCGCGGCAAACGGCUCAGUAACACGUGGCUAACCUACCCUUGGGACGGAGACACUCCCGGGAAACUGGGGCUAAUCCCCGAUAGGUAAGGACUCCUGGAAUGGAUCCUUGCUGAAAAGACGUUGAGUCCAUGCUAUUCAGCGUCGCCUAAGGAUGGGGCCGCGGCCGAUCAGGUUGUUGGCGAGGCAACGGCUCACCAAGCCUAUAACCGGUACGGGCCGUGAGAGCGGAAGCCCGGAGAUGGGAACUGAGACAAGGUCCCAGGCCCUACGGGGCGCAGCAGUUGCGAAAACUCCGCAAUGCGCGAAAGCGUGACGGGGCUAUCCCGAGUGCCGCCCGUUGAGGGCGGCUUUUCCAUGGUGUAAGGAGCCGUGGGAAUAAGGAGAGGGCAAGCCUGGUGUCAGCCGCCGCGGUAAUACCAGCUCUCCGAGUGGUGAGGACGAUUAUUGGGCUUAAAGCGUUCGUAGCCGGCUUAACAAGUCUUCCGUUCAAUCCAACGAUUUAAUCGUUGGUCUGCGGGAGAUACUGUUGGGC